Long non-coding RNA from Morone saxatilis (striped sea-bass), 356 nucleotides. RefSeq lists it as uncharacterized. NCBI's taxonomy places the organism in Eukaryota, Metazoa, Chordata, Actinopteri, Moronidae. The transcript has 3 exons. The record is from RefSeq and is a predicted model, not a curated record.
AGGAAUGGCGAAUAAUAAUAUAAACUCCCCGACCCUCUGCACGCUGCACGACCCGGAGGUGGAGGCCAUAAGGCUGGACCUCCAUCUUGCGGCGUGUGCAAUACUGGACCCGGAGAUCCAAAGACCCGCUGUAUAUCGGCGGGUCCUACAGGCCCAGGCCAGGGCCAUGAGGGCCCUCAUCCAGCAGUCCCUCCUGCUGAGCGCUGUCCAGCAGGAGGAGGACCUGCUCAGGGGACAGCUGGAGGAGGUCCUCCAGCAGCUGGAGGAGCUGCAGGAGGCCGCCGCACUUCGCCUUGCCGCAAAGGAGAAGGCCAAAGGAGGAGCAGGAGGAGGAGCAGCAGGAGGAGCAGGAGGAG